CAGGACCGAGCGAGCCGGCGAGCGACCGCAGUAAAGGUAUCGCACCAUAGUCAGAGGCCACCAGAGUCGGGUUAUUACAUUUUGUUAAUAGUCUACCCUUUUAUCAUCUUUUGUAUUUGAUGAUUUAAAAUGUUAAUGUAUAAAGCAAAGAAAGAAGAGAAUGUAAUGUUUAUUUGGAGCAAAUGUGAUGUAAAAGGAAAUGAUGCAAGCAAUGUAGAGAAUCAUGAAUAUACAACUUGGAUGAAAU
This 247-nucleotide long non-coding RNA is filed under the name Ananas comosus (pineapple). RNAcentral's name for it is "long non-coding RNA (ACOM_LNC044802)". The record is from RNAcentral. Lineage: Eukaryota; Viridiplantae; Streptophyta; Magnoliopsida; Poales; Bromeliaceae.